This is a non-coding RNA of Ailuropoda melanoleuca (giant panda), 73 nucleotides long. Lineage: Eukaryota; Metazoa; Chordata; Mammalia; Carnivora; Ursidae. The record is from Rfam.
GCCUGGCUGGCUCAGUCAGUAGAGCACACGACUCUUAAUCGUGGGGUUGUGAGUUCAAGCCACACGUUGGGCA